UAAGUAAACUUCACAAAAAUAUAAUAUUUACACUGCUGGAGAAAUUAAAAUUUCAUAAAGACUAACAUAUUUAUUUCAAGAACAAAACGCACAGUGCACAACUGUGUUGGAUCAUCAUUAAUACAUCUUGUUAUAUAAAAAGCACAAGGAAUACACAGCAAGUAUACACUGAACUGCAGGAUUUGCCAUCACCAGCUAUGGAUGGUGGAUGUAAGUUUUAUUUCACUCUCUAGUUACAACUUGUGAUGUUAGCAACACACAUUAUUUGAUGAAGUGGGCCCAGCAGCCUUGAUACACAUCGGAUCCCAUGUCAUCCCUUCUGUA
Molecule: unclassified non-coding RNA, 324 nt
Filed under: Hevea brasiliensis (rubber tree)
Lineage: Eukaryota; Viridiplantae; Streptophyta; Magnoliopsida; Malpighiales; Euphorbiaceae
Source: RNAcentral